UGGAAACACUGUCAGGACAGGUUUUGAUUGGUGGGCUUCAAGCAUUUAUGGUACAAUUCUAAAUAUUUGUGACAGGGUUCUAAACAUUUAUGAUGAAGUGGGGAAGGAAUUUUAACACUGGAACUUCCUGAAUGGCAGACCCCUGGCUUCUGAUAAGAGUCUGACUUUUAAGUUGCAGUCAUGUCCUGGUCCUUUGGUUCUUGGGGGAGGAGAAUCUUUGGUUCCGCAGUCAUUUCACGUCAAGAUUUCUUCUUCUGCACAAUGCUCUGGCUCCGUGACUUCGCACAUUUUCUGAAAGGCAAUUCUUAAUCACUCUGUUGAUAAGAGAUGGGAUCAGCUGAACUGGCAUCAGGAUGAGGAGGAGCUGGCAGACGAAAAAGAGGGGAAGAACAUGUGAAAAUACUUGGAGGAAGGAGAAAGAGCAUGGCAUGUGCUAGGAUUUCAUGGCAUGGCAGAGUAGGAGGCUGAGUACAUGUAGAUCCCAAAGGAAGAAUGAAAUGGGUUGAUAUAAGCACACCAAGUUUGGUCUUCCGGAAUGAAAGUCGCUCCUCUUUCCCUGGAAGGAGUAAGGAAAGGGAUGGAGCAAGAGGCUUGGAAUGUUAUUCUAAUGGCAGUCCCUCUAUGCAAAAAGAUUAACACUACAGACAAUUCAGAUCCUGGGCUCCUGGGAAUCCUAUUAAAACACACCAGAGUAAGUCAUUAACGAUCUGCCUGCAGAAAAGCGAAGCUGUGCCUCUCCUGUCUGGGACCCUCUUUUGUGAUAGAGCCUUGUCCAAUGGUGUGGAAUGAUGUGCCAAAACUUGGAAGAAAAUUGAGUUCUCCCACAGGAACUCUGGGCUGAUGGGGCAGUUCACGGUCCUGAAUGAUGUCUCCACAGUGGGGAACAGCUGGGACACUGUCUCUUCCCAACACUUCCACUGGGCUGCAGGAUGGGGGAUCAUGAUUAAACCUGGAUCAGUGGAAGAUGGUGGCAGUCCUUACGUGGCUACUCAGCACCUGAUCUGUAGAGAUAAUCAAGAUAAGUGACUUUAGGCAAGAUACAUGAGGUGGGGAGGUGAAGAAAUGACGCUCCUGCCUCUGCAGCUAUGAAGGAAGGCCAGGUAUAUCUGUCAUGGUCGUCAGCCACCUCCUGCGGAGGGAGUUCAGAGGACAAGGGAGGUAAUGGGCUGUUUAGACUUGGAGCCUUCCAAAAGCUGAAGACACUGAUGUUAACAACUGCUGAUGAGUGGCUGGGAAAGGCUGAAGAUUUUACUUUAAAGAACCUAAGCCUGCACGUCAGUUUUUCAUGUUAGCUGGCAGCGUUCCUGAGCAGGACUGGGAUCACACGCCAGUGCAAGCGGAGCACCUGGCUGAGAACACUGUGCAGUGGUGACAGAAGGGAAGUAUUUGGGAAAAUGAGUUGCAGACUUCAAGGAGACAUACCCUAUACCUGAGCCAUGAACAAGGCUUCUGGCCCCAGAGGCCUUCAACCCAGCAAGGGAGGUCUGGAGGGAGCUCUCCAUUUGAAUCUGGCACAGUGACACAGUGAUCCCUUCACCUCCCUCAAUGGGAACAUUAGAGUGGAUAGUCUCUUCUGGUCCUCUCUCUGGUUAUCAGGCAUAAAGGGUGGGGGGGUCGUGAUUGGCUCUGGAUGUGCCCAGAGGUCUCUUGGCUGUCCUCAGAGCUCUGCCAGGUGUGCCUUAAGUUAAAGAGAGCACAGAACGUGAACUCAUGGGGUGGGGCCACCUGGGGCCUCCUGGAUCAGCCCUUGCCGAUGCUGCAGAAUGAGGUGACUCAGCUCUGAGACCUGCUGAGUCAGAGAUGACUAUCUUUGCAGGUCCCUGUAACAAGUGCAGCAAGAGACACAAAGAGACUGAAUUCUGUUUCUAUUGAUCCCUCCUCCACUCCCCCAUCCUUUCUCUUUCCCCUCCAGCUACCUCCCAAAUCGCGCUUUCUCAGACCCUGCCUCCCCUCUACAGAGAUGCCCACUGGCUCGACUGUGUUCUGGAGUUGUGCAUAUGCCAGCCCUCUGCGUGGUCCAGUGCCGAUCUAGACAAGCGUCCGCACAUGGUUGUGUAUAGUGUUCACCCUGGUGUGCGUGUGAAUACGUGUGUGGGUGUGAUCUAGAUAUAUAGGUAUCGAGGACCUA
Long non-coding RNA from Equus asinus (donkey), 2128 nucleotides. NCBI's taxonomy places the organism in Eukaryota, Metazoa, Chordata, Mammalia, Perissodactyla, Equidae. The record is from Ensembl.